AGCCCUUGAAGCUUAAGAAAGUUAGCAUACCAAAGAAGGUUACUGUAGAAGAGCUUCAAGAUAAGACCUUAAAUGAGUGUAAUGAAGCUUGUCAAGAAUAUGAAGGAUGUAAUUCUUAUGAGUACAAUGAAAAUGAUAAACUGUGUGGUCUAAGCAAUGUGAUACAGUUGACUGGUGAACUUAAACCCAACAGUGGAAAUUGGGAUGUCUAUCUCAUUAGCUCAGUUUUUGCAAAAGUUGAUUGUGGACCACCAAAAGACAUUGCUGGUGCUUCAAAGUCCUAUAAAAGCACUACCUAUAAAUCUGAAGUAACCUACACUUGUACAGAAGGAGAAAAAUUAAAAUCGAUAUGUGAAGACGACAAUAAAUGGACUCCAUUAGCAUCUACCUGUAAAGUCGCUGAGUUGCAUUUUGUGAAAAUCACACAUGCAGUUCUGGAUGUAUCCGGGAAAACAUUGGUCAAGGAAAAUGUAACCACAGAUGCCUGUGCAGAAAAAUGUUUGGCUGAUCCAAAUUGUUUAGCAUUUGAAAUAACUAAAACAGGUGGAAAAUGUUACUUAACAAAUGAAACUGCAGCAUCCACGAAGAAAAUAAAAUCAGACAAAAGCAGAGAUUAUUACCAACGAA
Molecule: long non-coding RNA, 627 nt
Organism: Octopus bimaculoides (California two-spot octopus)
Lineage: Eukaryota; Metazoa; Mollusca; Cephalopoda; Octopoda; Octopodidae
Source: RefSeq, a predicted model, not a curated record